AACGAACGCUGGCGGCAUGCCUAACACAUGCAAGUCGAACGAGACCUUCGGGUCUAGUGGCGCACGGGUGCGUAACGCGUGGGAACCUGCCCUUAGGUUCGGAAUAACUCCCCGAAAGGGGUGCUAAUACCGGAUAAUGUCUUCGGACCAACGAUUUAUCGCCUUUGGAUGGGCCCGCGUUGGAUUAGCUAGUUGGUAGUGUAAAAGCAUACCAAGGCGACGAUCCAUAGCUGGUCUGAGAGGAUGAUCAGCCACACUGGGACUGAGACACGGCCCAGACUCCUACGGGAGGCAGCAGUGGGGAAUAUUGGACAAUGGGCGAAAGCCUGAUCCAGCAAUGCCGCGUGAGUGAUGAAGGCCUUAGGGUUGUAAAGCUCUUUUACCCGGGAUGAUAAUGACAGUACCGGGAGAAUAAGCUCCGGCUAACUCCGUG
Molecule: ribosomal RNA, 433 nt
Filed under: uncultured bacterium
Lineage: Bacteria
Description: partial 16S ribosomal RNA
Rfam family: Bacterial small subunit ribosomal RNA
Source: RNAcentral